UGCGUAGGUCCCGAGCGUUGUCCGGAUUUAUUGGGCGUAAAGCGAGCGCAGGUGGUUUAUUAAGUCUGGUGUAAAAGGCAGUGGCUCAACCAUUGUAUGCAUUGGAAACUGGUAGACUUGAGUGCAGGAGAGGAGAGUGGAAUUCCAUGUGUAGCGGUGAAAUGCGUAGAUAUAUGGAGGAACACCGGUGGCGAAAGCGGCUCUCUGGCCUGUAACUGACACUGAGGCACGAAAGCGUGGGGAGCAAAUAGG
Molecule: ribosomal RNA, 252 nt
Filed under: uncultured bacterium
Lineage: Bacteria
Description: partial 16S ribosomal RNA
Rfam family: Bacterial small subunit ribosomal RNA
Source: RNAcentral